RNAcentral lists this ribosomal RNA (300 nucleotides) under Triticum aestivum (bread wheat). Its description in RNAcentral is "partial small subunit ribosomal RNA". The record is from RNAcentral. Lineage: Eukaryota; Viridiplantae; Streptophyta; Magnoliopsida; Poales; Poaceae.
AUGGAUGGGUCCCCUCCUAAGCUUCGAUUCCUCAGGCUGUCUGCAACUCUUCGCAGCAUCCUCUGCCCUCCUAUGACUGCCAUGGAUGGGGAAUCCAUCAGGAAGCUCCAUUUUGAAGACCGCCGCAAAUUCCUGCUGCCUUAUCUAGAGGAGAUGGGGUCCAUGGCCGUUUUACUGAUCCAGCAGCAAGCUCCAUCUCAAUAUUCCCCUCAACCUCUCGCUGCCGGCUCACUGUCGGAUUUAGAGGAGAUGGUAGCCACAGAGCAACCAGAUGUGGAUGAGAUGUGGAUCGCAGAAUGA